This 466-nucleotide ribosomal RNA is filed under the name uncultured bacterium. RNAcentral describes it as "partial 16S ribosomal RNA". It matches the Rfam family "Bacterial small subunit ribosomal RNA", at positions 28 to 507 of the family's 1533-position model. The record is from RNAcentral.
GAUGAACGCUGGCGGCGUGCUUAACACAUGCAAGUCGAACGGAAAGGCCCAAGCUUGCUUGGGUACUCGAGUGGCGAACGGGUGAGUAACACGUGGGCGACCUGCCCUGCACUUCGGGAUAAGCCUGGGAAACUGGGCCUAAUACCGGAUAGGACCACACCCUGGAUGGUGUGGUGGAAAGCUUUUCGGUGUGGGAUGAGCCCGCGGCCUAUCAGCUUGUUGGUGGGGUAAUGGCCUACCAAGGCGUCGACGGGUAGCCGGCCGGGGAGGGUGUACGGCCACAUUGGGACUGAGAGACGGCCCAGACUCCGACGGGGGGCAGCAGUGGGGAAGAUUGCACAAUGGGCGCAAGCCUGAUGCAGCGACGCCGCGUGGGGGAUGACGGCCUUCGGGUUGUAAACUCCUUUCGCUAGGGACGAAGCGUUAUGUGACGGUACCUGGAGAAGAAGCACCGGCUAACUACGUG